ACGGUGAGGGAUGAAAGCUGGGGGAGCGAACCGGAUUAGAUACCCGGGUAGUCCCAGCCGUAAACGAUGCGAGCUAGAUGAUUCGAUCGCAGUUCGCGAUCGAAGUGUCGCAGGGAAGCCGUUAAGCUCGCCGCCUGGGGAGUACGGUCGCAAGGCUGAAUCGCGAGAAGAGAGAUCUUCUCGCGCAGUUCACUUAAAGGAAUUGGCGGGGGAGCACCACAAGGGGUGAAGCCUGCGGUUCAAUUGGAGUCAACGCCG
Molecule: ribosomal RNA, 258 nt
Filed under: uncultured crenarchaeote
Lineage: Archaea; Thermoproteati; Thermoproteota
Description: partial 16S ribosomal RNA
Rfam family: Archaeal small subunit ribosomal RNA
Source: RNAcentral